UAAUACGGAGGGGGCAAGCGUUGUUCGGAAUCACUGGGCGUAAAGCGCGCGUAGGCGGCCGGGUCAGUCGGGCGUGAAAGCCCAGGGCUCAACCCUGGAAGUGCGUUCGAUACUGCUCGGCUUGAGUGCGGGAGAGGAGAGUGGAAUCCCCAGUGUAGCGGUGAAAUGCGUAGAUAUUGGGAGGAACACCAAUGGCGAAGGCGGCUCUCUGGACCGUCACUGACGCUGAGGCGCGAAAGCUAGGGGAGCAAACGGGAUUAGAUACCCCGGUAGUCCUAGCCGUAAACGAUGGGCACUAGGUGUUGGAGGUAUCGACCCCUUCAGUGCCGUAGCUAACGCAUUAAGUGCCCCGCCUGGGGAGUACGGUCGCAAGGCUG
This 377-nucleotide ribosomal RNA is filed under the name uncultured bacterium. Its description in RNAcentral is "bacterial SSU rRNA". It matches the Rfam family "Bacterial small subunit ribosomal RNA", at positions 521 to 896 of the family's 1533-position model. The record is from RNAcentral.